This 466-nucleotide ribosomal RNA is filed under the name uncultured bacterium. RNAcentral describes it as "partial 16S ribosomal RNA". It matches the Rfam family "Bacterial small subunit ribosomal RNA", at positions 28 to 507 of the family's 1533-position model. The record is from RNAcentral.
GAUGAACGCUGGCGGCGUGCUUAACACAUGCAAGUCGAACGAUGAAGCCCAGCUUGCUGGGUGGAUUAGUGGCGAACGGGUGAGUAACACGUGAGUAACCUGCCCUUUACUCUGGGAUAAGCCCGGGAAACUGGGUCUAAUACCGGAUAGGAGCGCCUGUCGCAUGACGGGUGUUGGAAAGAUUUUUCGGUCAUGGAUGGACUCGCGGCCUAUCAGCUUGUUGGUGAGGUAAUGGCUCACCAAGGCGACGACGGGUAGCCGGCCUGAGAGGGUGACCGGCCACACUGGGACUGAGACACGGCCCAGACUCCUACGGGAGGCAGCAGUGGGGAAUAUUGCACAAUGGGCGGAAGCCUGAUGCAGCGACGCCGCGUGAGGGAUGACGGCCUUCGGGUUGUAAACCUCUUUCAGUAGGGAAGAAGCGAAAGUGACGGUACCUGCAGAAGAAGCACCGGCUAACUACGUG